GGGAUGGACGUACCUCUGGUGGACCGGUUGUGGCGCCAGCCGCAUAGCGGGUAGCUAUGUACGGACGGGAUAACCGCUGAAAGCAUCUAAGCGGGAAGCCCGCCCCAAGAUGAGGCCUCCCACGGCGUCAAGCCGGUAAGGACCCGGGAAGACGACCCGGUGGAUGGGCCGGGGGUGUAAGCGCCGCGAGGCGUUGAGCCGACCGGUCCCAAUCGUCCGAGGUCUUGACCCC
RNAcentral lists this non-coding RNA (232 nucleotides) under Daphnia magna. RNAcentral describes it as "Bacterial large subunit ribosomal RNA". It matches the Rfam family "Bacterial large subunit ribosomal RNA", at positions 2694 to 2925 of the family's 2925-position model. The record is from Rfam by way of RNAcentral. Lineage: Eukaryota; Metazoa; Arthropoda; Branchiopoda; Diplostraca; Daphniidae.